AGUAAAUAGAUACCCGGGUAGUCCUAGCCGUAAACGACACUCGCUAGGUGUCGGCCACGGUGCGACCGUUGUCGGUGCCGUAGGGAAAGCCGUGAAGCGAGCCACCUGGGAAGUACGGCCGCAAGGCUGAAACUUAAAGGAAUUGGCGGGGGAGCACCACAACGGGUGGAGCUUGCGGUUUAAUUGGAUUCAACGCCGGAAAUCUUACCGGGACCGACAGCAACAUGAAGGCCAGGCUGAAGACUUUGCCGGAUUAGCUGAGAGGUGGUGCAUGGCCGUCGUCAGUUCGUACUGUGAAAGCAUCCUGUUAAGUCAGGCAACGAGCGAGACCCACGCCCACAGUUGCCAGCGUACUCUCCGGAGUGACGGGUACACUGUGGGGACCGCCGCUGCUAAAGCGGAGGAAGGAAUGGGCAACGGUAGGUCAGUAUGCCCCGAAUAUCCCGGGCUACACGCGAGCUACAAUGGUUGGUACAAUGGGUAUCUACCCCGAAAGGGGAUGGAAAUCUCCUAAAGCCAAUCUUAGUUCGGAUUGA
RNAcentral lists this ribosomal RNA (536 nucleotides) under uncultured bacterium. RNAcentral describes it as "bacterial SSU rRNA". It matches the Rfam family "Archaeal small subunit ribosomal RNA", at positions 726 to 1257 of the family's 1478-position model. The record is from RNAcentral.